AGUCAUUUAUAAAUUAGGUUUUCUAAAUAUCAUAUCUUGAAUAUCUUUAAUUUUUUAAAUUAAAAACUAAUUAUAAUUUCAUUAUAUCAAAUAUUGUAUAAUUAUAUUUGCUAUCAAAUAUCAAAAAAAGAAAAAUAUAAUUAAUUUAUUUUUAAUAAGAUUGGUAAUAAUAUUAGAUUCCAAUUUACUAUUGUAUUCCUAGAGAAAAACCUAUACUAUUAAUUUGAUUUAUCAAAUUAUAUUAUAUUAGUCAUUGUAUAUUAACAAAAAAAAUGGAACAUGUAAAAAUACAAAAUAAAAUGGAAUUCAUUUUAAAUGAUUAAAAAUUUUUUAUCUAUAUUAUAAUAAUAUCCAUGAUAUUAUUUGAUAAUUAGAAUCUAAAAAUAUUAAUUUUAACUUUAGAUAUUCAUGCUAUUAAAAGUUAUAUCAUAAAUGAUUAUGAUUUAAAAAUAUAUAUUAAUUUUAUAUUAAUUUUAUAUUGUAUUAACUUCAUAUGCAAUCACUACAAAAUUGUCAGCACGCGGGACAAAAUGGCUGACAGUGACACAUAAUAACAAACGAACGAAGAGGUUCAAGAACGAGUGACGUGGAUGUCUCUCCGGUUCGACUCAUAUACUCUACCUGUGCUGAUCUGACGUCACGGAUAUGCUUCUUAUCAGGUAGAAGCGCCAACACCUGUAAGCUCGCACCUGUAUGCUUGAGCUUACCACCGAUUGGAACGCUCUGAGCUGAAUUUUCUUAUGAAAGAUAUUUCUAUACUCAAGACAAUACAAUUAACACAUUUACUUAAGCAAUUACUUAAAGAAUAAUAUAAAAUAGUACGAAUUUCAUCAGAAAAUCUAAUUCAUCAAGGUUUUAAAGCUCUAGUUUUAAGUUGUAUUUAAGAAUAUAAGUUUCGUAUGAAAUAUAAUUGAUGAAAUAGUAUUCAAUUCUAAAGUUCUCUUUUUUAUAGAAAAGAAAGAAGAUAAAAAAUAAAAAAAAUAAAAAAAGCUAUACUUGAUCAUCAAUUCAUUUUUUAAAAUUUUUGAAAAAAAAUAAUUAUAAAUCCAUGGAUGUAAAACUGACGAACGAUAUCAAUAGCAAUAGUUAAUGCUAUAGUUCAGAGUAAACACAGGUUCUAUAAAAAGGAAAAGAAAAAAAUAAUAAAAGACAGAAACGGAACCGUUGCUUUGACGAUGUCACGCGCGUUUACGUGGUGCGUUGCACCUUAUCUCGUGUCCUAGUUACAUCAUCGUACACGAUUUUGUAGUUCUUACACAAUUCCGAUCGGAAGGAACUAACAAUAGCCAUCGCUGAUCAAUUCAUGAUUUACUAAUAAUAUCAUGUUUUAUUUCACCAUGAUAAAUUUUUCAUCGUUUAAUUAAAGUAUAGAAUGUAUUUUAUUUUAGAAUAAACGCAUCGUUCAAAAAAGUUUUUGAUUUUAAUUAAACUGUAAUGGUUGAACGACUGCCAAUGGGAACUGAUGAUUUGUUCCUAAAAAAAAAAUUUGUAUAAUAAUUCUUUUAAUAAUUUUUGUUUUUUGAUUCAUUAUUCAUAAAUACCUGUAGGCUUCAUAAAAAAUUUUUCUGACUUCCUCAAACAUUUGUUUAUAAGUUGCAAGAUCGGCAACUUUGUCUUUUUGCACAGCAUCUAAUCUAGCUUUCAACGCGAGACAUUCUUCUUGCAAUAAUUCCAUUCUAUUUAAAAUUUAUCAAAAAUUAUUAGAUAAAGUUUAAGUAUUUUAGAUAAUUUAUAUUUACAUGUCUUCUGUUGCUUACUUAAGCCGCAUUUGCUCUAUAUCCAUUAAUUUAUCAUUAGUUUUUGAUAAUUUUGGUAAUUUUGUCCUAUAUCCAGUAUCAAUCUUAACAAUUCCUAUUUUUUCUGUCUCUAAUUUUCGAAUUUUUAACUCUAAUUUUGCCGAUUUGUAUUUUUCAUUACGUAAGAUAUUCUACAUAUAAUUCAUUUGAUUAGAAAUUCAAUCAAGAGAUAAGAAUACAAAUAAUAUUGUAGAAGACUCACAGAAAGAAUAUCAGCAUCAUUUCUUUCUUUAUCUAGUCGUCUAUUAAGUAUUGUUAUUAAUUCCAGCAAUCUCUCUCUUUCAGCCUCAGCGGCAAGAGCUAAAGUUACAUACUCGUUAGGUUCGCAUGUACUUCGAACGGUAUGAGGAGAGGUAUUAUUGUUAAAAUUAUUUAAAAAUAUUUCCGGUUGCGUAAUUUUUUGAGAUUUAAUCUCCCAUAUAUUGGGGAUCGUUCCAUUCCUAAAAUUAAUAAUACAUUUUUAUAAAAAUCUGUUUAUAUUUUUUAUUUUUUCUAAAAAUAGAAAAAUUAGAAAACCUCAAUUUAUCUAUUUCGAUUUCUCGUUCUUCUAAUUUUUUACGCAACCGAUCAAUUUGAAGUUGUGCUGACUGUAAAUCAUUUUUCAAAUUCGUGUACUCACGUUCAAUCUUCUCUGAUCUGUUUCUUGUAUCUGUCUCGCGUUCUUCAUGUUUUAUUUCGGUAGUUUUAAGCCGAUUCUACAAAAUUCAUUAAAUAUAAAAGAAACGAAUAAUUCAAUAUCAUCGAAUACUUACGUUGAGUGUCUCAAUUAAAUGAAUAUCGUGAGAUCUUUUUUCAUUUAAUAUAGCAAUGUUUCCUUUUGUAAUAUUUAAUUCAUGCUCUAAUACUUUUAUUCUUGCUUUUGAAGCUUCUAAUUUUCUUUUAUAUUCUUCAACAAUGACUUCUGUUUGUCGAAGUUGCUUUACUGAAUCUUCAAUUUGACGCCGUCUUUCUUUUUCAACAUUUCGAAGAUUCUCAAAAUUUUUUCGUUCUACGGAUACUAAGAAAAAAUAUAAAUUUUAUCAAUAGAAAUCUAAAAUUUAGAAAUUUUAUUUUAAUACCAAUAGAUGUUUUUUGCGUUCCUUCAUAUUCCGAUAAUUUUGAUUGCAAUUCAGUUAUUUUUUGAUGUAAUAGAUGAAUCUGUUCAGCUCUUCCACGCCAUCCGGAUUGAUUCGAUAAAUUAUUCAAAUUCACAUUUUCACCAAUUUCGCUAUAUAAUAACUACAUUUGCAAUUUUAAAAGUAUCUUUAUUUUUUCCCAUACAAUUUCUAAUAAGAUAUUUAAAUAAAAUACCUUAUUCAAUUUAUUAAUCUCUUGUUUAAGACUGAUGCAGUUAUUUUUAGAUUCAUAUAGUUUCGUUUGAGUUAGUUGUAAUUUUUCGAGUAAAUGUUUCAUUCGGUCCUCAUUUUCCCUCGGCAAAUUAUUUUUGGUACCUUUGUCAAGGAUACCAUCCUGUAUCUCGAUCAUGAUGAAAUAAUGAUAAAGGAAAAUAAUAGUGUAAAAAUGUUGUAUGCAAUUGAAAAAUUUUUAAUAUAACUCACUCUGCUGAGAGGAGUCAUCAGUUUUGAAAUAUCUUCUUUCAUGUCGCUCAUUUUCUAAUUCUGUUUCUUUAUUAAUUAAAUGAAUUUCAAGAUUUUUACAUUUAGACUUAAGAACUUCAAUUUCUGCGGUCUGUUCUCUACAUCUUUUGCUAAGCUCAAUAAUCUUCGCAGUUGCUAUUUCAUUUGGUUUUCCUAAAAUUAUUGAUUGUCCAUUUUCUGUGAUUCCUUUUUUUCGUACUUUUUCUUCCAUUUCUUCAAGUGCUCGUCGCAAACAACCAUUUUCAGUAAUUAAAUCCUAUUAUAUUUAUUUAUAUUUAAUAAAAAUUAUUUAAUUUAAUUUUAUAUAGGAUUUAUAUGAAAUUUUAUAAUGAAAUUGAAUGAAAUUAUUCUAUAUAUUCAAAGUAUUAUUAAUAUUAUUAAUAAUUAAUAAAUAUUAAUAAUUAUUAUUUUAAAAAAUAAUUAUAAUUUCAUAAAUAGAAUUUAUUUCGAUUACCUGAAUUCGAUUCCUCAAAAAUAGAUUUAAUUCUUUUGGAAAGAUAAUAUGAUCAGGUAAAUUCUCCUAGGACAUAUUAAAAAUAUCAUUCUUUUCCGUAUAUUUCACAAAUAUAAUUCAAUUAUAAAAUACGUAUUACAACAAUUUAAGAAUUAAGUACCUCUGUUAAUUCUUUUGUCCAUGGAAUCGUCGCUUCAAAAUCUAAAGAAUUAUUCACUUCAUCUUGUAUUAUUUUAUUUAUUAUUUUUGAUUUAGACAUAUUUUGUAUGAAUACUAAAUUAUCAAAAUUUUUUUCUAACCUCCCUUAAUAUAAAUUAAGACAAUUCUUCAGUUUUAGUAUAUAAUAUUAAAAUUGUUAUAAUGUGACAUUUUUUUUAUCUAUGAACUGCAUAUAAAUUUUAUAACAACAUAUUGUUACGUAAACAUGUGAAGUUUAAAACUUUUGUUCUAAUAAACAUGUAUCCAAUAAAUGAAGAUUUCAUAUACAUGUUAGGUUAAUAAUAUAAAUAAACUGUACAACUUCUAGUAGAUAAAUUUUUUAUCUAUAUUAUCCAACAUGUGAAUGUUUACAAUUAAGAAUAAAUCUUGAUUACAUAAAAAAGCUUAAUUCUAAAUGUCAAAAUAGGAAAAUAAUGAAGUUAAAAUUUAAAUAUUUAUUUCAAAUUAAUUCUAUUGAUUAUGUUUUUGUCAUUCGCAUAUUUUGCUUUCCUUUAUUUCCAGCAUGUUUUUGAAUGUUUCUGUUAUUUCCACCUGCUAAUUUUCCUGCCUUUUGUAGAGCAUGCAAUUUAAAAUUUUUAACAACACCUACUUUUUUGUUGUUUCCAGAAUAUUGCACAUUUAUUCUUCUCCCAUUAAUAAAUGAAUGAUUGAGUGAAAGUGCUUUCUGUUAAUAAAUAAGUAUAAUAAUAUGUAAUUAUAUAUAUAGAGAUGAUUGAUUCUAAUAAUCAAAAUAAAUUAUAAUAUAAACAUACCUCAUAAUCUGUAUUAUUGGCCAGUUCGAUGUAAGCAAAUCCACGUGCUGUGUUUGCAUCUUUCUUAGGUAUUCUAAUAUCAACUAUUUGAUUGACUUUAGUCAAAAAAUGUUUUUUAAGUUCCUCAUUAGUAAUACUAAAAUAUAAAAAUAUAAAAAUAUAAAAAUAUACAAAAUAUACUACAUAUAGAUGUGUGUGUGUGUGUGUGUGUGUAUGAUUUAAUAUAUAUUAUAUUAUGUAUAUAUAAUAUAUAUAAUAUAUAUAAUAUAUAUAAAUCCUUAUAUGUAAUAUAUAUAAAGGAUUUAUUUAAUAUUUAAUGUUCUUACUUAUAUGGUAAAUUUCCUAUAAAAAGAACAUAUCUUUUCUUUUUACUUUCUUCGUCUGUAUUUAUAGAUUUUCCUUUUUCUUUUAAACCUUGUAUACUUUUUUUAAUUUUAUUAUCUUCAUGUUGCUUAUUAUUCUCAUUUUUUUCAUCUUUUUCUUCUAUAUCAUCAUUGUUAUCGUCAUCAUCAUCAUCAUCAUCCUCUUCAUCAUCCUCAUCAUCUUCUUCCUCUUCCUCAUCUUCUUCAUCUUCCUCAUCUUCCUCAUCAUUAUCCUCUUCCUCAUCUUCUAUAUUACUUUCAUCAUCAUCCAUUUCAAUUUCUUCCUUAUCUUCAUCACUAUCAUCAUCAUCAUCUUCAUUUUUUUGUUUUAAAGAUGUUAAUGUCUUAGUUUGUUUAUCUUUAUUUUUAUUCUCAUUUGACUUGAUCUCUAAUUUUUCUUGCAAUUUUUUUUUCUGUUCAGUACUUUGUAGUUGUUUCUUUUUAACAAAUUCUAUUGAUUUUUCACUUUUUAUAUUUUCCGUCUCUUUUUUUAUAAUUUGUUUAGGUUUAUCUACUCCUUCUUCUAUUCUUAAUCUUUUUUUAAGUGCUGCUAGUUUUCUCCUAGCACUUUUUGUGAGAUUUUGUCGAGCUUCUAUUAUUUGAAUUUUCUUUUUUAUUUCCUCAACAGAUAAAUUACGAUUUAUUUCAUGCUUCAUUUGCCUAUUUGCUUUACGCUUUUUACGAUAUUCUUCUCUCUUUUUUAACAUUUCUAAUUUAUUCUCUUUAUUUGAUAUCUGUUUUUUAUUUUUUUGUGGAUUAUUUUCAUUUAUUUCUUUCAUAUUACAACUUUGAACAACUUUUGAAUCAUAAUCUUUUUUCUUUUCAUUUUUGAACUUUUUAGGUAUGUCCUUUUUAACUUGUUGAUUUGUUUGUCCAUUUUGUACUAUUCCAUUUUCUAAUUUCUUUUUCUUAUGAUUUUUAUUAAAAUUUCCUGAUAUUUCUGUUUUUUUUUCAAUUGCAUCAAACUCACUUGCUGAUCGUUUUUUUAUAUUUUUAACCAUAUUUGUUUUAGUCAUUAUUACGUUAUUUAAUAUAUAGAUUUACU
Apis cerana (Asiatic honeybee) is the source of this 6205-nucleotide long non-coding RNA. RefSeq lists it as uncharacterized. NCBI's taxonomy places the organism in Eukaryota, Metazoa, Arthropoda, Insecta, Hymenoptera, Apidae. The record is from RefSeq and is a predicted model, not a curated record.